RNAcentral lists this ribosomal RNA (484 nucleotides) under uncultured bacterium. Its description in RNAcentral is "partial 16S ribosomal RNA". It matches the Rfam family "Bacterial small subunit ribosomal RNA", at positions 30 to 507 of the family's 1533-position model. The record is from RNAcentral.
AUUGAACGCUGGCGGCAGGCCUAACACAUGCAAGUCGAGCGGAUGGAGGGAGCUUGCUCCUGGAUUCAGCGGCGGACGGGUGAGUAAUGCCUAGGAAUCUGCCUGGUAGUGGGGGAUAACGUCCGGAAACGGGCGCUAAUACCGCAUACGUCCUGAGGGAGAAAGUGGGGGAUCUUCGGACCUCACGCUAUCAGAUGAGCCUAGGUCGGAUUAGCUAGUUGGUGGGGUAAAGGCCCACCAAGGCGACGAUCCGUAACUGGUCUGAGAGGAUGAUCAGUCACACUGGAACUGAGACACGGUCCAGACUCCUACGGGAGGCAGCAGUGGGGAAUAUUGGACAAUGGGCGAAAGCCUGAUCCAGCCAUGCCGCGUGUGUGAAGAAGGUCUUCGGAUUGUAAAGCACUUUAAGUUGGGAGGAAGGGCAGUAAGUUAAUACCUUGCUGUUUUGACGUUACCAACAGAAUAAGCACCGGCUAACUUCGUG